This is a long non-coding RNA of Glycine soja, 737 nucleotides long. RefSeq lists it as uncharacterized. NCBI's taxonomy places the organism in Eukaryota, Viridiplantae, Streptophyta, Magnoliopsida, Fabales, Fabaceae. The record is from RefSeq and is a predicted model, not a curated record. The transcript is spliced from 3 exons.
UCAGGAGUUGCUAUCCGAUCACAUUGCUUCCGAAGCAGUCCGUUGUGGAAGAUCUUAAGCUGAAACAACUCUACACAGCUUAUCCAUGUUUGAAAAUGGAUUAUUAAUUAAAUAAAAUCCAACAUAAUGAAGAAACAGAUUAAGGAAAAGGCCCAAAUCGAUAAGGACCCGGCCCAUUCUUCUCCCUCCUUUCAAUUCUAGGGUUUCUGAGUUCUAGAUAGUUCACCGUUCCAACUCCGCUUGUUUAUAAAUACGCGCAGCAAGUGUUACUCUCCCUUUGUGUCUAUCUUGCGCCUCUUCCAUCUGCAUCAAAGGAUUUUGCCUACUUUGUUGUUCUAUUUCCCUUCGGUUCGAUUAGGUCUAUGUACUAAGAUUUGGACCUUCAUUAGUGAUUCUCUUCAAGCUUCAACAAUCAACAAACAUGAAUCAUUACUGAAUAUUAACAACAAUUUGAAAAUCUUUCAAACGAGUGGAUGCACAAAGCUACACAAAGGACAAAUUGGCCUUUAGCCGAGCUGCUACGGCAACACCAAGCAGAAUAUUCAAGACUGCAAAUUUGGAGAACUUUAUUCAAAUAUAACAACUCAAAUUAGGGUUUAAUAAUUGUACUUUCAUAUUUAAUAUUUUGUACAUUAUGGUUAAACUCUUCUUAAGUGAGACAAUUUUUUGUUUACAUUGAAUUGUCUCUUUAUAAUGAAUUAUUGUUUUAGGCUUAUUAGGUACCCUGGGUACCAACA